GGUGUUGUGGCUCAGUGGUAGAGUGCUUGCUUGGCAUGUGAGGCACCAGGUUCGAUCCCCAGCAUCA
Molecule: transfer RNA, 67 nt
Filed under: Marmota marmota marmota (Alpine marmot)
Lineage: Eukaryota; Metazoa; Chordata; Mammalia; Rodentia; Sciuridae
Also listed under: 1 other name
Rfam family: tRNA
About the family: Transfer RNA (tRNA) molecules are approximately 80 nucleotides in length. Their secondary structure includes four short double-helical elements and three loops (D, anti-codon, and T loops). Further hydrogen bonds mediate the characteristic L-shaped molecular structure. tRNAs have two regions of fundamental functional importance: the anti-codon, which is responsible for specific mRNA codon recognition, and the 3' end, to which the tRNAs corresponding amino acid is attached (by aminoacyl-tRNA synthetases). tRNAs cope with the degeneracy of the genetic code in two manners: having more than one tRNA (with a specific anti-codon) for a particular amino acid; and 'wobble' base-pairing, i.e. permitting non-standard base-pairing at the 3rd anti-codon position.
Source: Rfam by way of RNAcentral